AUUGAACGCUGGCGGCAUGCCUUACACAUGCAAGUCGAACGGCAGCGGGGGAGAAGCUUGCUUUUCCUGCCGGCGAGUGGCGAACGGGUGAGUAAUACAUCGGAACGUGCCCUGUAGUGGGGGAUAACUAGUCGAAAGAUUAGCUAAUACCGCAUACGACCUGAGGGUGAAAGUGGGGGACCGCAAGGCCUCAUGCUAUAGGAGCGACCGAGGUCUGAUUAGCUAGUUGGUGGGGUAAAGGCCUACCAAGGCGACGAUGAGUAGAUGGUCUGAGAGGACGAUCAGCCACACUGGGACUGAGACACGGCCCAGACUCCUACGGGAGGCAGCAGUGGGGAAUUUUGGACAAUGGGCGAAAGCCUGAUCCAGCAAUGCCGCGUGUGUGAAGAAGGCCUUCGGGUUGUAAAGCACUUUUGUCCGGAAAGAAAUGGCUCUGGUUAAUACCUGGGGUCGAUGACGGUACCGGAAGAAUAAGGACCGGCUAACUACGUGCCAGCAGCCGCCGUAA
Molecule: ribosomal RNA, 508 nt
Filed under: uncultured bacterium
Lineage: Bacteria
Description: partial 16S ribosomal RNA
Rfam family: Bacterial small subunit ribosomal RNA
Source: RNAcentral